AUUGCUGUGGGAGGGGACUGUAGAGAGGAGGAUGCCUAACCUCUGUUCCGCUCACCCCUUCUCACAG
Molecule: microRNA precursor, 67 nt
Filed under: Mus caroli (Ryukyu mouse)
Lineage: Eukaryota; Metazoa; Chordata; Mammalia; Rodentia; Muridae
Description: microRNA 6922 (MGP_CAROLIEiJ_G0007110.1)
Source: RNAcentral